AUGAUACAAUGAGCCAUAUAUAUACACAUAACCUAUCAUGCUCCUAAUACAUAUUGGAUUAGGGUUAUUUUACUACUAUUUACAUAUUCUAACAGUGUACGAUGUGCCAAUUUUUUUAGCAUAAUCCAUAUAAGAGUAAUGAUUCUCUGUGUCCAAUUAAAUGGGGUUAGAUACAAGAGGGUUCUUGAGGGAACGAGAAGCUUGAGGAUCACAAGGUUUUUGGCAAACCUUAAUGUAAAUAUAAACCAGUCUCAUCUAAGUAAUGUAUUGUAUCGUAUUAUUACUUUAAAUACAAUGCUUGUUUUGAUAUUUACUUAAAUUUUACUGUAUCAUACCGUGAAAUCCGUCUUUACGUAACGAUGAAAAGUGUCACUUUAUGUAACGACCGAUUUGGUGUAGUCUCGACGUUACCUUGUCUUUUUCUCUUAUCUUGCCCUUUAUUAUUAUUAAAUAAUCCUUUAUUCUACCUGUUUAUUUUUUUGAUUUGCAUCGGGUGUCCGAGACUCUACGAGCCCUGACUAAUCUUGGGGGUGCACAGGCCCUCGGCAAGGAGUUUCCCGCAAGUGCACCACGGUUAAUUCAAGUUUUAAAGAGCCUGACUAAUCCCGGGGGUGCACAGGCCCUCGGCAAGGAGUUUCCCGCAAGUACACCGCGCGGUUAAUUCAGGUUUUACCCAGUCCGAUGGCCCUCAGAAAUUGUUUGCACCCAGUGGGUUUCGAACUUGAGACCUUAAAAGGGAGCAAACCCCAAGGCUCAAGUCAAUUGCUACUAGGCCAACCCCUAAGGGUUUUAUUCCACCUUUUUUAUAAUAAUAAUUCUACUUUGUACCAUAAAUAUUAUUUGUAACACCGCAAGUUUAUCCUUCAUAUUGCUGAUACGUGACAUCAUGAAACAAUAGCAAAUGAUACAAUAUAUCCAAAUAUUGUAUUCAUCAAACGAUACAAUACACUAUAAUACAAUACAAUAUGGUACAUUAUAAAACGAUAUGUAACAACCAUCCAAACAAGUUGGUCUGCUUCUUGAUCAUUCAGAUCUCAGUCCUUAAGUGCGUUUAUUUUUUAGAUCUUAAUCUUUAUCAUUCCGAUUUUAACCAUUAAGUCUGUUUGUUUUUUUUAAUUUUACAACCACUUAAUAGGUAUGUACUAUAACAGUGUCUUAAUAAUACAUUCGAGAAUUUAUUUAAAAACAUUUCACUAUUAUUCCUAUACUUUCACCAUUAACCACCACCUCCAUUGCUAUCGGCGUCCUCCACAUCGUAGACGACCACCCACUGCCGACUAUUCAUUACCACCAUCCUCGGCCAUAACUACCAUUGUUAUCAAGCACGAAUGUUAGUCGUUACUACCAUUAGCCAUCAUUUACAACCAUCACUAAUAACCACAAUUAUUACAACAAUCGGUAAUAACCACUAUCAACCACCACUAUCUAUCACUCAUCACCAUUAUCAGUCACCAACUCACCACCACCAUCAACCACCACAGUGUACUACUACUGUCAUCCACCGUUUACUGCCGAUAAGUACCACUAUCAACCAAUAUCACUACUAGACAUUACCCGGUCGGCACCUACAACCAUUACUAUUAGCCACCACCACCACCAACAAUAUAAUUUUUUAAUAGCAUUUUAUUAAUAUAGUAUUAGAUUAAUUAGUACUAUUUGAUUUGAAUUUUUUUUUUUUUGCACCGGGUGUUCGAGUCUCUAUGAGCCCCGACUAAUCCCGGGGAUGCACAGGCCAUCAGCAAGGAGUUUCCCGCAAGUGAACCACGAUUUUAAUUCAGGUUUUACCCAGUCCGAUGGCCCUCAGAAAUUGUUUGCACCCAGUGGGUUACGAACUUGAGACCUUGAAAGGGAGCAUAUCCCAAGGCUCAAGUCAAUUGCCAUCAGGCCAACCCAUGAGGGUUACU
RNAcentral lists this long non-coding RNA (1904 nucleotides) under Nicotiana benthamiana. RNAcentral's name for it is "long non-coding RNA (NBEN_LNC029353)". The record is from RNAcentral. Lineage: Eukaryota; Viridiplantae; Streptophyta; Magnoliopsida; Solanales; Solanaceae.